UGAGAGUUGAUCCUGGCUCAGGAUGAACGCUGGCGGCGUGCUUGAUACAUGCAAGUCGAACGCACUUGUUAGGUACUCAAGCGCCGGAAGGCGCGGCGGGCGAGAAAUCGUCCCAAGCGUUGGAAGGCGUAGCGGUAUUGAUGCAAGUGAGUGGCGGACGGGUGAGUAACACGUGGGUUAUCUGCCUCAAAGUGUGGUAUAACCAUCCGAAAGGAUGGCUAAUCCCGCAUGUGGUCCGAUUCGUAAAGAGUCGGAAGAAAGGCCCUUCGGGGUCGCUUUGAGAUGAGCCCGCGGCCGAUUAGCUAGUUGGUGGGGUAAAGGCCUACCAAGGCAACCAUCGGUAGCUGGUCUGAGAGGAUGAUCAGCCACACUGGGAUUGACAACGGCCCAGACUCCUACGGGAGGCAGCAGUAAGGAAUAUUGCACAAUGGGGGAAACCCUGAUGCAGCGACGCCGCGUGGGUGAAGAAGGCCUUCGGGUUGUAAAACCCUUUUCCGGGGGAUGAGGAAGGACAGUACCCCGGGAAUAAGCCUCGGCCAACUACGUGCCAGCAGCCGCGGUAAGACGUAGGAGGCAAGCGUUAUCCGGAUUUACUGGGCGUAAAGGGCAAGUAGGCGGUUGCCAAAGUUGGGCGUGACAUCUCCUGGCUUAACUAGGAGGGGCCGUCCAAUACUGGGUGACUUGAGGACAGAAGAGGGAAGUGGAACUCCCAAUGUAGCGGUGGAAUGCUCAGAUAUUGGGAAGAACACCAGUGGCGAAGGCGGCUUCCUGGUCUGAUCCUGACGCUGAGAGGCGAAAGCUAGGGUAGCAAA
This 812-nucleotide ribosomal RNA is filed under the name uncultured bacterium. RNAcentral's name for it is "bacterial SSU rRNA". It matches the Rfam family "Bacterial small subunit ribosomal RNA", at positions 1 to 772 of the family's 1533-position model. The record is from RNAcentral.